CCUACGGGUGGCAGCAGUGAGGAAUAUUGGUCAAUGGACGAGAGUCUGAACCAGCCAAGUAGCGUGAAGGAUGACUGCCCUAUGGGUUGUAAACUUCUUUUAUAUGGGAAUAAAAUGUUCCACGUGUGGGAUUUUGUAUGUACCCUAUGAAUAAGGAUCGGCUAACUCCGUGCCAGCAGCCGCGGUAAUCCGGAGGAUCCGAGCGUUAUCCGGAUUUAUUGGGUUUAAAGGGAGCGUAGGUGGAUUGUUAAGUUAGUUGUGAAAGUUUGCGGCUCAACCGUAAAAUUGCAGUUGAAACUGGCAGUCUUGAGUACAGUAGAGGUGGGCGGAAUUCGUGGUGUAGCGGUGAAAUGCUUAGAUAUCACGAAGAACUCCGAUUGCGAAGGCAGUUCACUGGACUGCAACUGACACUGAGGCUCGAAAGUGUGGGUAUCAAACAGGAUUAGAUACCCUAGUAGUC
This 460-nucleotide ribosomal RNA is filed under the name uncultured bacterium. RNAcentral's name for it is "partial 16S ribosomal RNA". It matches the Rfam family "Bacterial small subunit ribosomal RNA", at positions 338 to 795 of the family's 1533-position model. The record is from RNAcentral.